This 247-nucleotide ribosomal RNA is filed under the name uncultured bacterium. RNAcentral's name for it is "partial 16S ribosomal RNA". It matches the Rfam family "Bacterial small subunit ribosomal RNA", at positions 523 to 769 of the family's 1533-position model. The record is from RNAcentral.
AUACGAAGGGUGCAAGCGUUACUCGGAAUUACUGGGCGUAAAGCGUGCGUAGGUGGUUUGUUAAGUCUGUCGUGAAAGCCCCGGGCUCAACCUGGGAAUUGCGAUGGAUACUGGCUAACUAGAGUGUGGCAGAGGGUAGUGGAAUUCCUGGUGUAGCAGUGAAACGCGUAGAGAUCAGGAGGAACAUCCGUGGCGAAGGCGACUGCCUGGGCCAACACUGACACUGAGGCACGGAAGCGUGGGGAGC